UCCUACGGGUGGCUGCAGUGAGGAAUAUUCGGCAAUGGGGGGAACCCUGACCGAGCAACGCCGCGUGGAGGAUGACGGUUUUUGGAUUGUAAACUCCUUUUCUCAGGGAAGAGUGAGGACGGUACCUGAGGAAUAAGUCACGGCUAACUACGUGCCAGCAGCCGCGGUAAUACGUAGGUGGCAAGCGUUAUCCGGAAUUACUGGGCGUAAAGCGCACGCAGGUGGCUUGCUAAGACUGACGUGAAAGGUCCUGGCUUAACUGGGAGAGGUCGUUGGAGACUGGUAGGCUUGAGGCGAGGAGAGGGGUGUAGAAUUCCCGGUGUAGUGGUGGAAUGCGUAGAGAUCGGGAGGAAUACCAGUGGCGAAAGCGGCACCCUGGCCUUGGCCUGACGCUCAGGUGCGAAAGCGUGGGGAGCGAACGGGAUUAGAUACCCUGGUAGUC
RNAcentral lists this ribosomal RNA (442 nucleotides) under uncultured Caldilineaceae bacterium. Its description in RNAcentral is "bacterial SSU rRNA". It matches the Rfam family "Bacterial small subunit ribosomal RNA", at positions 337 to 795 of the family's 1533-position model. The record is from RNAcentral. Lineage: Bacteria; Bacillati; Chloroflexota; Caldilineae; Caldilineales; Caldilineaceae.